This is a long non-coding RNA of Acanthopagrus latus (yellowfin seabream), 1948 nucleotides long. RefSeq lists it as uncharacterized. The transcript has 2 exons. NCBI's taxonomy places the organism in Eukaryota, Metazoa, Chordata, Actinopteri, Spariformes, Sparidae. The record is from RefSeq and is a predicted model, not a curated record.
CUCACGUAUCCUGUGAGUCCCGUCAGUAAGAUCGAGUAUCAGACGAAGGUUCAGGCCUAACAGCUCUCAGCGCUAACUUGAAGUGUCUGUUUCAAUCAUUACAAGACGUAUGGAUGUCAGAGUUAAAGGUCAAACUGUUUGGCAGCUCACACAUCACUGAACAAAACUGCGAGCUCUUUCUCUUUUCACGUACUUCACUCGCUCUCUAUUUUCCUCUUUUCCUGACUGACACACACAUACACACACACACUCAUAUUCCACCUUGUCCUCGAUCCAGUGAUGCUGAAAACUAAAUGAGACCUACAGGAAAGGAAGGACGGGGACCCCGAGGACAGAAAACCCAGCGGAGAAGGAGAAGCUGGGCUGCAGGCAGAGCCGAGCGACGACAUGAAAGACACUUAGAAACUCCUCCGAAAAGCCUUUGAUAUGCAAAGAGCCGCUCUUUGAAAUGACUGUCCUGACAGGCUUUCAUUGUGCCAGAAACAAAGACGACGCACUUUUCAGAAAUAACAUUCCUCUGCAUGCGCAACGCACAGUUACAGCAACCGAGCUAUAAGCUCCUGACAGGCCUGCAGCAGCGGAGGAGGAGGAGGAGGAGCUGCACAAAUCCUCAGAUAUACACAAGAGGUAACGCAGAGUUCAGCGUUAGCUCACGGCUGAAGGAGGUGAGACCAAAAAAACUGUGUGAGUGAGGACGAUCUCACUGACGCCGUUAUCCUGGAAGGUGACAGAAGUCUCAUUUAACUGCUGAGCUGAUCUACUUCACACUUUCGUCUGGUUCUGCCAGCGUUUCUGAAUGUUCUUUGGCCUGGAGGAGAAGCAGCAGGUUCUGCAAAGUCACCGCUUGGUUCUGGUGGUGGAACGCAGAGUCCCGGCCAGGCGGAACAGCUCGUCCUCUCAAACCAAUCUGGGGAUGCAACUGCAGGCCUGAAUAUACGGUUCACCCCCCGACCACCACCACCACCUUCCCUCUGAGCUAUUACACACGGUGACAUAUCUGUGAGUGUGAGUGUGAGUGUGAGGGACGACACACACCUCCAUGCAGGAGUCUGUGAAUGACUCGUGGCUUUUUAAAGUGACCCUGAGCCUCUUCUGCCUCACUCGGCCUCGUCUCUGCCAGCCAGGCUGACUGUUGUGCUGUUCUUCACGUUAAAGGAACAUUGUGAGACAUUAAAUGCUGUCAAGAUGUCGCUUCUGCUGUUAAACGUCAGAAAUCGACGGUAGAUCCAAAACUAUAGAAGCCAGCAUCACUUACUGUUGCUACCUUUGUCUGAGGCGACCAGACGUUGUUAGCAAGCAUCUCAGCUGGCUGUGGAGCUACUGGCCUCAUUAGCUGGCUGGAGUUUACAGGUAACCAGCUGCCUCCCAGUGAACACAGCCGGACAUGAAGCUGGGACCUAAACACCAGCCACACCAGUGGAUUUCCAUCCUGUUUGUCAGAUUAAAAGCGGGUGUUUUUUUAAGGAGAGCUGCAGAUGUUAGAACCAAAACUCUUUGUUUUCUUCCACAGGAAGUCGGACCACCUCCACCUGUGAUCGCGGUGACAGAAACACGAUGUUUAAAAUGUUUAAAAAUUAGUUUGAAUCUGAAUCUGUGCUUUUGUAGCAAGUAUACAGCUAACAGUUAUCCUGUUAAUAUUGCUGAUAUCUCUCACUAAUUUCUGAUGGUUUAUAAACAACAUGACUAGUUAAAAAUCUGCAGUAGAAGGAUUCAGUUUCAUCUGCAUAACAGAGCAUAAAAUCUCCUGGAGGGACCAGAGCAGGAUCGUUGGGCCCAAACACACAUGAUCAUCACCUCUUUGCUUUUUACUUUGCUUGUGCUCGACCCUGCAGGCCGGACGCAACACAAACAGUAUGUUGUUCUGAGUAUGUUUAACUUUUCUAACACGACCCCUGUCAUAUUAGCUUUAAUGUGCAAUAAUCCAAUUAAAAGAUUUAUUUGUUCAUCA